This 243-nucleotide ribosomal RNA is filed under the name uncultured bacterium. Its description in RNAcentral is "partial 16S ribosomal RNA". It matches the Rfam family "Bacterial small subunit ribosomal RNA", at positions 30 to 263 of the family's 1533-position model. The record is from RNAcentral.
AUUGAACGCUGGCGGCAUGCUUUACACAUGCAAGUCGAGCGGCAGCGCGGGGCUCAGGCAACUGAGCCCUGGCGGCGAGCGGCGAACGGGUGAGUAAUGCAUCGGAACGUGUCCCGUAGUGGGGAGUAACCGGCGAAGCGGACUAAUACCGCAUAUGCUCUACGGAGGAAAGCGGGGGACGUCGCAAGAGCCUCGCGCUAUGGGAGCGGCCGANGUCCGAUUAGCUUGUUGGUGAGGUAAUGG